GUAGGUGGCAAGCGUUGUCCGGAAUUAUUGGGCGUAAAGCGCGCGCAGGCGGUUCUUUAAGUCUGAUGUGAAAGCCCACGGCUCAACCGUGGAGGGUCAUUGGAAACUGGAGAACUUGAGUACAGAAGAGGAAAGCGGAAUUCCACGUGUAGCGGUGAAAUGCGUAGAGAUGUGGAGGAACACCAGUGGCGAAGGCGGCUUUCUGGUCUGUAACUGACGCUGAGGCGCGAAAGCGUGGGGAGCAAACAGGGAUUAGAUACCCUGGUAGUCCACGCCGUAAACGAUGAGUGCUAAGUGUCGGGGGGGUUUCCGCCCCCUUAGUGCUGCAGCUAACGCAUUAAGCACUCCGCCUGGGGAGUACGGCCGCAAGGCUG
This 374-nucleotide ribosomal RNA is filed under the name uncultured organism. RNAcentral describes it as "partial 16S ribosomal RNA". It matches the Rfam family "Bacterial small subunit ribosomal RNA", at positions 527 to 896 of the family's 1533-position model. The record is from RNAcentral.